This 492-nucleotide ribosomal RNA is filed under the name uncultured bacterium. Its description in RNAcentral is "partial 16S ribosomal RNA". It matches the Rfam family "Bacterial small subunit ribosomal RNA", at positions 29 to 507 of the family's 1533-position model. The record is from RNAcentral.
AGUGAACGCUGGCGGUAGGCCUAACACAUGCAAGUCGAACGGCAGCACAGUAAGAGCUUGCUCUUACGGGUGGCGAGUGGCGGACGGGUGAGGAAUACAUCGGAAUCUACUUUUUCGUGGGGGAUAACGUAGGGAAACUUACGCUAAUACCGCAUACGACCUACGGGUGAAAGCAGGGGAUCUUCGGACCUUGCGCGAUUGAAUGAGCCGAUGUCGGAUUAGCUAGUUGGCGGGGUAAAGGCCCACCAAGGCGACGAUCCGUAGCUGGUCUGAGAGGAUGAUCAGCCACACUAGAACUGAGACACGGUCCAGACUCCUACGGGAGGCAGCAGUGGGGAAUAUUGGACAAUGGGCGCAAGCCUGAUCCAGCCAUACCGCGUGGGUGAAGAAGGUCUUCGGGUUGUAAAGCCCUUUUGUUGGGAAAGAAAAGCAGCAGGUUAAUACCCCGCUGUUCUGACGGUACCCAAAGAAUAAGCACCGGCUAACUUCGUG